CCGGAUUUAUUGGGUUUAAAGGGUGCGUAGGCGGCCUUGUAAGUCAGCGGUGAAAUUUUGCGGCUUAACUGUAAAAGCGCCGUUGAUACUGUGAGGCUAGGAUUUGGUUGCUGUGGGCGGAAUGUGUGGUGUAGCGGUGAAAUGCUUAGAGAUCACACAGAAUAUCGAUUGCGAAGGCAGCUCACAAAGCCAAGAUUGACGCUGAGGCACGAAAGUGUGGGGAUCAAACAGGAUUAGAUACCCUGGUAGUCCACACUGUAAACGAUGAUAACUCGCUGUCGGCGAUAGACCGUCGGUGGCCAAGCGAAAGCGAUAAGUUAUCCACCUGGGGAGUACGACCGCAAGGUUGAAACUCAAAGGAAUUGACGGGGGCCCGCACAAGCGGAGGAACAUGUGGUUUAAUUCGAUGAUACGCGAGGAACCUUACCCGGGCUCGAACGGUGCAUGAAUGUUCAAGAGAUUGGACAGUCCUUCGGGACAUGUAUCGAGGUGCUGCAUGGUUGUCGUCAGCUCGUGCCGUGAGGUGUCGGCUUAAGUGCCAUAACGAGCGCAAUCCUUGUCAUUAGUUACCAUCAGGUUAAGCUGGGGACUCUAGUGAGACUGCCACCGUAAGGUGUGAGGAAGGGGGGGAUGACGUCAAAUCAGCACGGCCCUUAUGUCCGGGGCGACACACGUGUUACAAUGGGAGGUACAGAGAGCAGCCAGUUAGUGAUAACGCGCCAAUCUCAAAAACCUUUCUCAGCUCGGGAUUGGAGUCUGCAACUCGACUCCAUGAAGUUUGAUGCGCUAGUAAUCGUCGCAUCAAC
RNAcentral lists this ribosomal RNA (806 nucleotides) under uncultured bacterium. RNAcentral describes it as "bacterial SSU rRNA". It matches the Rfam family "Bacterial small subunit ribosomal RNA", at positions 545 to 1353 of the family's 1533-position model. The record is from RNAcentral.